CUUGUUCCACUGCUACGCCAAUUUAUCUCUCUGUGUAACCAAUUGGACCUGUUGUUACAUGGAGUCUCUGAUGCUAGCUUCCGAACCAAUGUUAUAAGUAGAUGUUACGAUUCCUUAUAUUCUUUAUCAUCGAAGUUUCCUUCCACAAUUCCUCCCUAUUCCAACUCAACUUUCCUAUACUAAUCUCAACUCAACUUUCCUAAUAAUCAUGAGUUUUGUUGCCACAUCUAACCUAGAUUUUACAAUACCAAGGGUUGCCUGAAUCGGAACUGGAAUAAUCCUACUGGCAUGGAUGGAAGGAUUUGAGUUGUGAUUGUAGAGAAACAGAGGGCAAAGUUCACAUCUUUUUCUUUACUCUUGAUUGAAUUUCAUAGAUUGAUGACUUUCCAUGUUGCUGUUUGAGGUUGAAACAAGUUGGUUUUAAUAUUUUCUCAUCCUGUUAUUGUCUUUGAAACUGUGCGUGCAUG
Molecule: long non-coding RNA, 467 nt
Filed under: Linum usitatissimum (flax)
Lineage: Eukaryota; Viridiplantae; Streptophyta; Magnoliopsida; Malpighiales; Linaceae
Description: long non-coding RNA (LUSI_LNC001794)
Source: RNAcentral